This 460-nucleotide ribosomal RNA is filed under the name uncultured bacterium. RNAcentral's name for it is "partial 16S ribosomal RNA". It matches the Rfam family "Bacterial small subunit ribosomal RNA", at positions 338 to 795 of the family's 1533-position model. The record is from RNAcentral.
CCUACGGGUGGCAGCAGUGAGGAAUAUUGGUCAAUGGACGAGAGUCUGAACCAGCCAAGUAGCGUGAAGGAUGACUGCCCUAUGGGUUGUAAACUUCUUUUAUAUGGGAAUAAAAUGUUCCACGUGUGGGAUUUUGUAUGUACCAUAUGAAUAAGGAUCGGCUAACUCCGUGCCAGCAGCCGCGGAAAUACGGAGGAUCCGAGCGUUAUCCGGAUUUAUUGGGUUUAAAGGGAGCGUAGGUGGAUUGUUAAGUCAGUUGUGAAAGUUUGCGGCUCAACCGUAAAAUUGCAGUUGAAACUGGCAGUCUUGAGUACAGUAGAGGUGGGCGGAAUUCGUGGUGUAGCGGUGAAAUGCUUAGAUAUCACGAAGAACUCCGAUUGCGAAGGCAGUUCACUGGACUGCAACUGACACUGAGGCUCGAAAGUGUGGGUAUCAAACAGGAUUAGAUACCCUUGUAGUC